AGAGUUUGAUCCUGGCUCAGGACGAACGCUGGCGGCGCGCCUAACACAUGCAAGUCGAACGAGCGAGAGAGAGCUUGCUUUCUCAAGCGAGUGGCGAACGGGUGAGUAACGCGUGAGGAACCUGCCUCAAAGAGGGGGACAACAGUUGGAAACGACUGCUAAUACCGCAUAAGCCCACAGCUCGGCAUCGAGCAGAGGGAAAAGGAGCAAUCCGCUUUGAGAUGGCCUCGCGUCCGAUUAGCUAGUUGGUGAGGUAAUGGCCCACCAAGGCGACGAUCGGUAGCCGGACUGAGAGGUUGAACGGCCACAUUGGGACUGAGACACGGCCCAGACUCCUACGGGAGGCAGCAGUGGGGAAUAUUGCACAAUGGGGGAAACCCUGAUGCAGCGACGCCGCGUGGAGGAAGAAGGUCUUCGGAUUGUAAACUCCUGUUGUUGAGGAAGAUAAUGACGGUACUCAACAAGGAAGUGACGGCUAACUACGUGCCAGCAGCCGCGGUAAAACGUAGGUCACAAGCGUUGUCCGGAAUUACUGGGUGUAAAGGGAGCGCAGGCGGGAAGACAAGUUGGAAGUGAAAUCUAUGGGCUCAACCCAUAAACUGCUUUCAAAACUGUUUUUCUUGAGUAGUGCAGAGGUAGGCGGAAUUCCCGGUGUAGCGGUGGAAUGCAUAGAUAUCGGGAGGAACACCAGUGGCGAAGGCGGCCUACUGGGCACCAACUGACGCUGAGGCUCGAAAGUGUGGGUAGCAAACAGGAUUAGAUACCCUGGUAGUCCACACCGUAAACGAUGAUUACUAGGUGUUGGAGGAUUGACCCCUUCAGUGCCGCAGUUAACACAAUAAGUAAUCCACCUGGGGAGUACGACCGCAAGGUUGAAACUCAAAGGAAUUGACGGGGGCCCGCACAAGCAGUGGAGUAUGUGGUUUAAUUCGACGCAACGCGAAGAACCUUACCAAGUCUUGACAUCCUGCGACGCACAUAGAAAUAUGUGUUUCCUUCGGGACGCAGAGACAGGUGGUGCAUGGUUGUCGUCAGCUCGUGUCGUGAGAUGUUGGGUUAAGUCCCGCAACGAGCGCAACCCUUACUGUCAGUUACUACGCAAGAGGACUCUGGCAGGACUGCCGUUGACAAAACGGAGGAAGGUGGGGAUGACGUCAAAUCGUCAUGCCCUUUAUGACUUGGGCUACACACGUACUACAAUGGCGUUAAACAAAGAGAAGCAAGACCGCGAGGUGGAGCAAAACUCAGAAACAACGUCCCAGUUCGGACUGCAGGCUGCAACUCGCCUGCACGAAGUCGGAAUUGCUAGUAAUCGUGGAUCAGCAUGCCACGGUGAAUACGUUCCCGGGCCUUGUACACACCGCCCGUC
Molecule: ribosomal RNA, 1369 nt
Filed under: uncultured bacterium
Lineage: Bacteria
Description: bacterial SSU rRNA
Rfam family: Bacterial small subunit ribosomal RNA
Source: RNAcentral